Molecule: small RNA, 172 nt
Filed under: Muricomes intestini
Lineage: Bacteria; Bacillati; Bacillota; Clostridia; Lachnospirales; Lachnospiraceae
Description: Clostridiales-1 RNA
Source: RNAcentral
GGAGGGCAGAAAUAUAUACAAACAGCUUGUGCAAGCUUGCUUGCUAAGAGCUGCUUGUAUAUAUUUCUAUCCGGCGUUUAGCCGAAGCGAGAUGAAGCAAAGCGGAAUCGAGCUUGCUAUCCGGCGUUUAGCCGAAGCGAGAUGAAGCAAAGCGGAGUCGAGCUUGCCCUCC